CUUGAAAAUUAUUGACCGCAAGAAGAAUAUUUUCAAGCUUUCUCAAGGAGAAUAUGUUGCCGUGGAAAAUUUGGAGAAUAUUUAUGGUCUUGUAUCUUCUAUAGACAUGAUCUGGGUCUACGGGAACAGUUUCGAGUCCUUUCUAGUUGCAGUUGCUAACCCCAACAAGCUAGCACUCGAACGUUGGGCAGACGAAAAUGGUAUCGAAG
RNAcentral lists this unclassified non-coding RNA (209 nucleotides) under Hevea brasiliensis (rubber tree). Lineage: Eukaryota; Viridiplantae; Streptophyta; Magnoliopsida; Malpighiales; Euphorbiaceae. The record is from RNAcentral.